ACAGCGCCGCGGACGCCAUCCUUGGGCAUCCCCGGAGCUACCGGUUCCGUGUCCGGGCCCAUGACGAGGCCCGGGGCCAGCCCGGGCGCGGGGCUUGGUGGAGGUGCUAGUGGAAUGAACCCCGGAGAGCCAGAGGAAAGCAACGCCCGAGGCCUUUCAACAGUCUGUAGGAGAGCGAAUGGUGGCCUGGAUUGGUAGGGUCCCGGGGACAUCGCAGUGACUCGGACCCGGUGCAGGCCAUGGCAGAAAAAUAGUCAAACUCUCCUGGCCUCAGAACCCAGAAGAGGGCUGAGGAAUGCGAAUCAACUCGACACAGUAAGUGGAUCCCUCUGGCAAGAGUCCACAACUUGCUAGAAUCCCCAGUCCCCGCAGGACGUCCCCACAGGCAGUGUCUGAAGCUCCCGGUCCCUUGCAGGGAAACACUCUCGACUGGCACGUAAAACUGACCUCCCUGAUGGAAAUGUUCCGUAGAAAUCAAUUCAGAGAACGCACACAACUUCACCUGGGACUCAAACAAUUCCUAAUAGGAUAGACCUGGGCAAGAAGAUCACGUCCAGUCCAUUUGAAGUCCUGCUUGAAGGCACAAUCCAACGCCAAAACUUCACUUUAGUCGGAGGUCCCUACAUGCCUGCCUAAAAUACCUUCGGCAACUAAGUUGUUUAUAAUGUUUUGCAAAUACAUUUGAAGCCCCAGUUUAUGGACGGCAGCCAGGAGUUUAAAAACAGAAGCUUCCUUUCCCAGCUUCUUUCGCCACGUAAAGAGCAUCCUGUGACGCUGCUCCAUCAAAUUGCCUGGAUUCUCGCAUUCGCAAGAGUCAAUGUCCGUCUCAUCCAGACCAAUUAGCCUCAUGAACAUCUUCCAGUCGUUUCCCAUGCUGCUCUUUACAAACUCAUAAUGGAUGGUCGCGGUAGCUGCAAGAGACAAAGCCAGAAAGGAAGACGGUUACUUUCCUGGGAUGACCACGUGGCACCUGCUGUCGCUGGGCCCCGGGAGUAAGGUCACGGGUGGCCCCACCGUCCCAUUGCCCCGGGGCCGGCCCCCCCCCCCGCCCCGGCCAGCGCACCACACCUAGGACAUGGGAGGUCUUGUACGACCCCAGGGGUCUCCCGGAAGUGAUCAGGCCCAGGGGCUGGGAGACGGCGGAGGCUGGGCCACCUCUGCCACAGCUCUUGCCCCGCAGGCGCCCUGCCUGCAGCUCGUUCCUCGAGCCCUUGAGCCCGAGCCCGAGCCCGGGAGGAGCCGAGGGUGGGGGCAAGCAGGAAGCUGUCGGAGAACGCAGUCUGCUGUAGUCCACCUGCCUUCUCUCCCUUGACCCCCAGAGAAAGGCUAUAAGACGGUCAGGACAGGAAGGCCUUCUGGUGUCAGCUGGGGACCAUGGUUAGGGUCUGAGGCCUGGGGCGACUUCUGUAGCCCGAGUUUCAGACUGUCAUGUUUUUAAACCCGUGUGCUGGGGCGAUCUUGCAGAACCGUUAGUGGAGGGGAUACAAAAGCACCCGACGUGCAGCAUGUCUCCUAGCCGGGGGGGGCCCUACCCAUCCAGGAGCGUAGAAAGCAUUCCUGCUGCCCGUUAGUGUUUCUUAAACACACGAAUGGGUCAUAAGAUCAAAGCCUGAUGAACCCCGCAAAACUCAUGUCGGGCAAAUGCUGUUUCCCCUAAUGCCAUUAGUGGCUGUGAAAAAGCAUGGGUCGAGCUGACAGAAGGUCCCACCGCUUCAUGCAGGCAGGGGUUCCCGGAAACAAGGCGAAGCCCGGUCACUCACUGUAAGUGAGAAUUCAGAUCACGUACCUUCUUUGGAGUUAUCCUUGACAAAAUAUUCCUUUUUGUAUCGCUGCGAAGAGAAAGAAAUAAAAUUGACCCAGGGCAAGAAA
Molecule: long non-coding RNA, 1869 nt
Organism: Panthera uncia (snow leopard)
Lineage: Eukaryota; Metazoa; Chordata; Mammalia; Carnivora; Felidae
Exons: 3
Source: RefSeq, a predicted model, not a curated record